RNAcentral lists this ribosomal RNA (365 nucleotides) under Microxysma sp. RNAcentral describes it as "partial small subunit ribosomal RNA". It matches the Rfam family "Eukaryotic small subunit ribosomal RNA", at positions 587 to 975 of the family's 1831-position model. The record is from RNAcentral. Lineage: Eukaryota; Ciliophora; Phyllopharyngea; Dysteriida; Hartmannulidae.
AGCUCCAAUAGUGUAUCUUAACGUUGUUGCAGUUAAAAAGCUCGUAGUUGAAUUUCUGUUGGGAACUUAGCACUAUGGUGCUAGGAUCUACAACAUCCGCCUAGGGAACGUCGCAUGUCCUUUCUUGGUCUGCGGCGGAAACUGGCAUUUUACUUUGAAGAAAUUAGAGUGUUUCUAGCAGGCUAUGCUUGAAUACAUCAGCAUGGAAUAAUAGAAUAGGACAAAGUCCAUUUUUAUUGGUGAGGGAUUUUGUAAUGAUUAACAGGGACAGUUGGGGGCACUCGUAUUCAUUUGUCAGCGGUGGAAUGCUUUGAUUAGGUGAAGACGAACUAAUGCGAAAGCAUUUGCCAAGGAUGUUUUCAUUA